ACUCAAAUGAAUUGACGGGGGCCCGCACAAGCGGUGGAUCAUGUGGUUUAAUUCGAAGCAACGCGCAAAACCUUACCUGGGUUUGACAUCCCCGGACAAACGUAGAAAUACGUCUUCUGUAGCAAUACAGCCGGGAGACAGGUGCUGCAUGGCUGUCGUCAGCUCGUGUGGUGACAUGUUGGGUUAAGUCCCGCAACGAGCGCAACCCUUGUCUUUAGUUGCCAGCAUUCAGUUGGGCACUCUAGAGAGACUGCCGUGGUUAACACGGAGGAAGGUGGGGAUGACGUCAAGUCCUCAUGGCCUUUAUAUCCAGGGCGACACACGUGAUACAAUGGAUGACACAAAGGGAAGCGAACCUGCGAAGGGGAGCGAAUCUCAAAAAGUCAUUCUCAGUUCGGAUUGGAGUCUGCAACCCGACUCCAUGAAGCUGGAAUCGCUAGUAAUCGCGGAUCAGAACGCCGCGGUGAAUACGUUCCCGGGCCUUGCACACACCGCCCGU
Molecule: ribosomal RNA, 499 nt
Filed under: uncultured bacterium
Lineage: Bacteria
Description: partial 16S ribosomal RNA
Rfam family: Bacterial small subunit ribosomal RNA
Source: RNAcentral